GUGGGGAAUAUUGGACAAUGGGCGAAAGCCUGAUCCAGCCAUGCCGCGUGUGUGAAGAAGGUCUUCGGAUUGUAAAGCACUUUAAGUUGGGAGGAAGGGCAGUAAGUUAAUACCUUGCUGUUUUGACGUUACCGACAGAAUAAGCACCGGCUAACUUCGUGCCAGCAGCCGCGGUAAUACGAAGGGUGCAAGCGUUAAUCGGAAUUACUGGGCGUAAAGCGCGCGUAGGUGGUUUUGUAAGUUGGAGGUGAAAUCCCCGGGCUCAACCUGGGAACUGCCUCCAAAACUGCAUGACUAGAGUACGGUAGAGGGUAGUGGAAUUUCCUGUGUAGCGGUGAAAUGCGUAGAUAUAGGAAGGAACUCCAGUGGCGAAGGCGACUACCUGGACUGAUACUGACACUGAGGUGCGAAAGCGUGGGGAGCAAACAGGAUUAGAUACCCCAGUAGUCC
This 450-nucleotide ribosomal RNA is filed under the name uncultured bacterium. RNAcentral's name for it is "partial 16S ribosomal RNA". It matches the Rfam family "Bacterial small subunit ribosomal RNA", at positions 354 to 796 of the family's 1533-position model. The record is from RNAcentral.